This 770-nucleotide ribosomal RNA is filed under the name rhizosphere soil bacterium BE-7. Its description in RNAcentral is "bacterial SSU rRNA". It matches the Rfam family "Bacterial small subunit ribosomal RNA", at positions 66 to 883 of the family's 1533-position model. The record is from RNAcentral.
ACGAACUCUUCGGAGUUAGUGGCGGACGGGUGAGUAACACGUGGGAACGUGCCUUUAGGUUCGGAAUAACUCAGGGAAACUUGUGCUAAUACCGAAUGUGCCCUUCGGGGGAAAGAUUUAUCGCCUUUAGAGCGGCCCGCGUCUGAUUAGCUAGUUGGUGAGGUAAAGGCUCACCAAGGCGACGAUCAGUAGCUGGUCUGAGAGGAUGAUCAGCCACAUUGGGACUGAGACACGGCCCAAACUCCUACGGGAGGCAGCAGUGGGGAAUCUUGCGCAAUGGGCGAAAGCCUGACGCAGCCAUGCCGCGUGAAUGAUGAAGGUCUUAGGAUUGUAAAAUUCUUUCACCGGGGACGAUAAUGACGGUACCCGGAGAAGAAGCCCCGGCUAACUUCGUGCCAGCAGCCGCGGUAAUACGAAGGGGGCUAGCGUUGCUCGGAAUUACUGGGCGUAAAGGGAGCGUAGGCGGACAUUUAAGUCAGGGGUGAAAUCCCGGGGCUCAACCUCGGAAUUGCCUUUGAUACUGGGUGUCUUGAGUAUGAGAGAGGUGUGUGGAACUCCGAGUGUAGAGGUGAAAUUCGUAGAUAUUCGGAAGAACACCAGUGGCGAAGGCGACACACUGGCUCAUUACUGACGCUGAGGCUCGAAAGCGUGGGGAGCAAACAGGAUUAGAUACCCUGGUAGUCCACGCCGUAAACGAUGAUUGCUAGUUGUCGGGAUGCAUGCAUUUCGGUGACGCAGCUAACGCAUUAAGCAAUCCGCCUGGGGAGUAC